CAAAAGCAGUACCCUGAGCCUGGUGCCUCCCAAGCCCAGCACCCCAGACAGUCACCUGGGUUGCGUGCCCCUAAAUCUAGCUCUGGUUCUGGAAUAAUAGCACCAUCAUUGCUUUCAACAGGAAAGUGACAGGCUGACAUUGUAGAACUGAUGAGGCCAUGAUUGGACCAUGCAGUGGGACUGGUAAAUCAUGAAGCAAGAGGACUGUGCAGUGGAGAAAAGUCACUAUCCAUGGGCAACAUUUACUUAUGGUGUUUAAAAUGCUAUAAUAUUCAAUUGCAGAGCAUGUUUCCUACCUGUAGGUUUCAUGGAAGAACUGUUUCCUGCAGAUCUUUUAAAAAGUAUAAGACAGGGGUUCCCCACUAUGGAUUUCUAUGGACUAGAGACAUGGUGUUCUUAGGGUGUCUAUCGAAAUAUAUCCAGAUUGUAGCAUUUACAUCCUCUGACCAAUUUUUUUCAGGACAUCAUUGUAUCAGAGUACUAAAAAAUUAAACGACUUUUAAACUUU
Molecule: long non-coding RNA, 508 nt
Organism: Mauremys reevesii (Reeves's turtle)
Lineage: Eukaryota; Metazoa; Chordata; Testudines; Geoemydidae
Exons: 2
Source: RefSeq, a predicted model, not a curated record